Molecule: ribosomal RNA, 715 nt
Filed under: uncultured bacterium
Lineage: Bacteria
Description: bacterial SSU rRNA
Rfam family: Bacterial small subunit ribosomal RNA
Source: RNAcentral
UGCAAGUCGAGGGGCAUCACGUGUAGCAAUACAUGGUGGCGACCGGCGGAAGGGUGCGUAACGCGUGAGCAACAUGCCCGUAUCAGGGGGAUAAACCAGGGAAACUUGGUCUAAUACCGCAUAAUAAGUUUCUAAGGCAUCUUAGGGAUUUUAAAGUUUUGGUGGAUACGGAUUGGCUCGCGUGACAUUAGCUAGAUGGUAAGGUAACGGCUUACCAUGGCAACGAUGUCUAGGGGUUCUGAGAGGAAGAUCCCCCACACUGGAACUGAGACACGGUCCAGACUCCUACGGGAGGCAGCAGUGAGGAAUAUUGGACAAUGGAUGGAAAUCUGAUCCAGCCAUGCCGCGUGCAGGAAGACAGCCCUAUGGGUUUUAAACUGCUUUUAUACGGGAGCAAUAAGGACUAUGCGUAGUUUGAUGAGAGUACCGUACGAAUAAGCACCGGCUAACUCCGUGCCAGCAGCCGCGGUAAUACGGAGGGUGCAAGCGUUAUCCGGAUUUAUUGGGUUUAAAGGGUGCGUAGGCGGUUUUAUAAGUCAGCGGUGAAAUUUUUCAGCUUAACUGGAACAAUGCCGUUGAUACUGUAAAGCUGGAAUAUGGUUGCUGUGGGUGGAAUGUGUGGUGUAGCGGUGAAAUGCUUAGAUAUCACACAGAAUAUCGAUUGCGAAGGCAGCUCACAAAUCCAUUAUUGACGCUGAUGCACGAAAGUGUGGGG